GCUCGCCGCAGCGAUGACACCCCCCCCUCCCCCCGUGCACGGCCCCCCCGGGGUCACCGACGUCCCCCCACCCGCGGGGUCACCGGUGGGGUCCCGCCCUCCUCUCCCUCGCACGCCCCCCUGCGCACACGCCCCGGCCUCGUGCACCCAUGGGUGUGCACUGUGCUGCGCGCACCUGGCACCCCGCGUGCCUCCCUUCCUUGCACACCCGGUGCACACUCCUGCCUUGCACACCCACGUGCAAGCACGGCCCUCCCUCGCACAGCCCUGUGCACGCUCCUCCCUUGCACGCCCACGUGCAUGCACGGCCCUCUCUUGCACGGGUCUCUGCACACUCCUGCCUUGCACACCCACGUGCAUGCACAAUCCUCCCUUGCACGGCCCUGUGCACACUCCUCCCUUGCACACCCAUGUGCAUGCACAAUCCUCCCUUGCAUGGCCCUGUGCACACUCCUCCCUUGCAUGCCAUGUGCAUGCACAACCCUCCCUCACACGGCCCUGUGCACACUCCUCCCUUGCACACCCACGUGCAUGCACAGCCCUCUCUUGCACGGGUCUCUGCACACCUCUUCCCAGGCUGGCCAUGCACGCCCCUGCCUUGCACACCCGCAUGCACACAUUUCCCUUGCACAUCCUGGUGCACACGCUGUCCUCCCUUGCACGCCCACGUGCAUGCACGGCCCUGUGCACAUCCCUCCCUUGCACACCCAUGUGCAAGCACAGCCCUCCCUUGCACGGCCCUGUGCACACUCCUACCUUGCACACCUGCGUGCAUGCACAGCCCUCCUUCGCACAGCCCUGCGCACACCCCUCCUUGCACACCCGCGUGCACACACAGCCCUGUGCACACCCCUCCCUUGCACACCCAUGUGCAUGCACAGCCCUCCCUUGCACAUCCUCGCACAGCCCUGUGCACACCCCUCCCUUGCACACCCACGUGCACACACGGCCCUCGCACGUCCCCCCCUGCCCACCCCGUGCCCGCCCGCAGCACGUCCCCCGCCGGGCGCUGCACCCGCGGGUGCCACCUCAACACGCCCGGGGGGCCCCGGGGUCCCCAGCCCAGCCGGGGGACGGGGACGUGGGGACACGGGGACACGGGGACGCCGGGAGGCCGCCUGGGCCGGUCGGGCAGGGAGGGAUCCGGCCGGACCGGCUCGGCGCCCACAGCCCGGCCUCACCCGCCGGCCGCUCCGGGUGCUCCGGGCGCCCCAGGGUGCCGGGACGGGGAAGGUGCCACCCGGCGCCGGCGUCCCCGCGUCCCUUCCUGGGGGGCUUGAGGGCGCCUGGUCCCAUCACCGUCACUGUCCCCGGGGCCAGGCGGGUGCCAGCACCCAGCUUCAGCCGCGUGGCUGGGCCGGGCCACGCCAGGGGACGAGGAAGGGGACAUGGCCACCGGGGGGACAGGGCCACCAUGCAGAUGGGGACACAGCCACAAGAGGGACACGGCCACCGCAGGGACAUGGCCAUGGCCACCACGGGGACAUGGACACAGCCACCACGGGGAUGGGGACAUGGACAGAACCACCAUGGGGACAGGGCCACCACAGUGAUGGGGACAUGGCCACAGCCACUGCAGGGACAUUGGUCACCAUGGGGAUGGGGACACGACCACUGCAGGGACAUGGCCACUGCUGGGUUGGGGACACGGCCACCACGGGAACAUGGCCACCGCAGGGAUGAAGAUACGGCCACCACAGGGGCAGGGCCACCAUAGGGACAGGGCCACAGCCACCAUGGGGAAGAGGACACUGCCACCAUGGGGACAUGGCCACCAUGGGAAUGGGGACAUGGCCAGCGCAGGGACAGGGCCACAGCCACCACAGGGAUGGGGAUAUGGCCACCACAGGGACAUGGCCACUGCAGGGACAC
Long non-coding RNA from Apteryx haastii (Great spotted kiwi), 1872 nucleotides. NCBI's taxonomy places the organism in Eukaryota, Metazoa, Chordata, Aves, Apterygiformes, Apterygidae. The record is from Ensembl.